Molecule: ribosomal RNA, 271 nt
Filed under: uncultured bacterium
Lineage: Bacteria
Description: partial 16S ribosomal RNA
Rfam family: Bacterial small subunit ribosomal RNA
Source: RNAcentral
UACGUAGGGUGCAAGCGUUAAUCGGAAUUACUGGGCGUAAAGCGUGCGCAGGUGGUUGUGCAAGACAGACGUGAAAUCCCCGGGCUUAACCUGGGAACUGCGUUUGUGACUGCACGGCUAGAGUGCGGCAGAGGGGGAUGGAAUUCCGCGUGUAGCAGUGAAAUGCGUAGAUAUGCGGAGGAACACCGAUGGCGAAGGCAAUCCCCUGGGCCUGCACUGACACUCAUGCACGAAAGCGUGGGGAGCAAACAGGAUUAGAAACCCCUGUAGU